RNAcentral lists this ribosomal RNA (448 nucleotides) under uncultured bacterium. Its description in RNAcentral is "bacterial SSU rRNA". It matches the Rfam family "Bacterial small subunit ribosomal RNA", at positions 330 to 794 of the family's 1533-position model. The record is from RNAcentral.
UCCAGACUCCUACGGGAGGCAGCAGUGGGGAAUAUUGCACAAUGGGGGAAACCCUGAUGCAGCGACGCCGCGUGAGUGAAGAAGUAUUUCGGUAUGUAAAGCUCUAUCAGCAGGAACGAGACAAGACGGUACCUGACUAAGAAGCCCCGGCUAACUACGUGCCAGCAGCCGCGGUAAUACGUAGGGGGCAAGCGUUAUCCGGAAUCACUGGGUGUAAAGGGAGCGUAGACGGCUGUGCAAGCCUGAAGUGAAAGGCGGGGGCCCAACCCCUAGACUGCUUUGGGAACUGUACGGCUGGAGUGCAGGAGAGGUAAGUGGAAUUCCUAGUGUAGCGGUGAAAUGCGUAGAUAUUAGGAGGAACACCAGUGGCGAAAGCGGCUCUCUGGUCUGUAACUGACGCUGAGGUUCGAAAGCGUGGGUAGCAAACAGGAUUAGAUACCCGAGUAUC